This 253-nucleotide ribosomal RNA is filed under the name uncultured microorganism. Its description in RNAcentral is "partial 16S ribosomal RNA". It matches the Rfam family "Bacterial small subunit ribosomal RNA", at positions 524 to 776 of the family's 1533-position model. The record is from RNAcentral.
UACGUAGGGUGCGAGCGUUAAUCGGAUUUACUGGGCGUAAAGCGUGCGCAGGCGGCCCGUUAAGACAGGUGUGAAAUCCCUGGGCUCAACCUAGGAAUUGCGCUUGUGACUGGCGGGCUCGAGUACGGUAGAGGGGGGUGGAAUUCCUGGUGUAGCAGUGAAAUGCGUAGAGAUCAGGAGGAACACCGAUGGCGAAGGCAGCCCCCUGGGCCUGUACUGACGCUCAUGCACGAAAGCGCGGGGAGCAAACAGG